This 499-nucleotide ribosomal RNA is filed under the name uncultured bacterium. Its description in RNAcentral is "partial 16S ribosomal RNA". It matches the Rfam family "Bacterial small subunit ribosomal RNA", at positions 28 to 523 of the family's 1533-position model. The record is from RNAcentral.
GAUGAACGCUGGCGGCGUGCUUAACACAUGCAAGUCGAACGAAGCACUUUAUUCGAUUUUCUUCGGAGAUGAAGAUUUAGUGACUGAGUGGCGGACGGGUGAGUAACGCGUGGAUAACCUGCCUCACACUGGGGGAUAACAGUUAGAAAUGACUGCUAAUACCGCAUAAGCGCGCAGUACCGCAUGGUACGGUGUGAAAAACUCCGGUGGUGUGAGAUGGAUCCGCGUUUGAUUAGCCAGUUGGCGGGGUAACGGCCCACCAAAGCGACGAUCAAUAGCCGACCUGAGCGGGUGACCGGCCACAUUGGGAAUGAGACACGGCCCAAACUCCUACGGGAGGCAGCAGUGGGGAAUAUUGCGCAAUGGGGGAAACCCUGACGCAGCGACGCCGCGUGAGCGAUGAAGUAUUUCGGUAUGUAAAGCUCUAUCAGCAGGGAAGAAUAAAUGACGGUACCUGACUAAGAAGCCCCGGCUAACUACGUGCCAGCAGCCGCCGUAA